GGACUACCGGGGUAUCUAAUCCUGGUUCAUUCCUUUAUUUUGAUAGCUUCAAUUCAGAUUGAUAUUUUUAUUACCUUGUAUACUAAAAAAUUGAUUUCACCCUUUAUCAGUACAAGCUCUUAAGAAAUUAUCAAUCAAUAAUAUAACUAUUUUUAACCAAUUUUCUUUCAAUUUACCUCUCAGUAUUACCGCGGCUGCUGGCAC
Molecule: unclassified non-coding RNA, 204 nt
Filed under: uncultured fungus
Lineage: Eukaryota; Fungi
Description: sequence contains ITS1
Source: RNAcentral